This 1444-nucleotide long non-coding RNA is filed under the name Physcomitrium patens. RNAcentral describes it as "long non-coding RNA (PPAT_LNC014869)". The record is from RNAcentral. Lineage: Eukaryota; Viridiplantae; Streptophyta; Bryopsida; Funariales; Funariaceae.
CUUUCCUGUAAUUGGUGGACGAUGAUGGUGAGCUGUGCGGAGGCCGCUACGAGCAACGUCAGGGGCACAGUGUAGUCGAUUCUCGGGCAACGAGAGUGGAGACCAUUGUGGUUGGAUACCAUGUCGUAACGAUCGUAGAGUUCUUUGCAGGGCGUAAGGUGUAGUUCGUAGUGCUGUGCGGAGUAUGACGUUGCGCAGCUGUAGUUGUGAUUUUUGUUAGAGCGUCUAUCUGAGUCGUGUAGGUUUUGUCACGGUCGCAUCCUGUGGCCCGUCCGCGCACUGUGUGUAUGUAUGUUUUCUUGAACAUCGGUUUAAGGCGUCACAAUCGAGAAUUUUCGUGAGGGUAUGGGUGAUUGAAGGGUAUGCCUUCAUAGAUGCCCCACAGUGUUGCGUCGUGCUAGCUUUUUGGCUUAACAUUGGCGUGUAUGGUCGUGUGGCAAAACAUUAAGGCGAAUGGUUGCAGUGUGUUGCAGGGCUGUUCAGAGCGAGGUCGGGGAAAGGUCCAUCGCGGUCCCUCACCAUGAACCGUUGAUGAUCUUUAAGCUGGUUACGCUGGGUGUGGGAAAUGGUUGUGGUCGGACUUGGAGUAUUAAUAUUCCUUGAGCGUGGUUUUUUGUGUGGAGCUCUGAUUUGGUGGAAAAUAUUCUUUUGCAUUCCUCUGCAUUCUUUUUCUCAAGUGAUGAGUGAAUGGGAAAGCAGGUGGUGGUUGCUACUCAUUGCAGGUGGAUAGAGAGCUGUAUACGUCGAUAUCGAGCUUAAGCGUCCGGUUGGCUUGACGUCGUCGUAUAUGGUCGUGUGGCAAAGCAUUGAGGCAAAUGGUGGCAGUGUAUUUCUUUAUAAUUGGAAGCUAGGCCGGAGAAAGAUCCAGUGCGGUUCCUCACCAUGAACGUUCGAUGAUCCUGAAGUUUAUGCCGCUGGGAGCAGGGAAUGGUUGUCGUUGGACUUGGAGAGUUAAUAUUCCAUCGUGGAUUUGUGAGUAGAUCCUUGGUUUGGCGGAAAGAUGGAGGAUAUAGCAUUGGGUGAUGGAUGUUGGUGAUGGAUGCUGUUUUUGAGGAUUUGUUUUUGAGCAUGGAAGCUUUGCUAGAUUUGUAGGACAGGUCAAGUGCUGGUGCGCUGUUUUUCGCAUCACGCCAUCUCAUGGUCAAGGGAUCAUCCAUUGUAUUCGUCUUGUAUGAGUACAUGGUUUAUAAGCUUCUUUUGGGCAAAGUUAUACAAUGCAGAGUUUUACAGGAAUUGCACAAUUAAUUGAAUUUUCAUUGUGCUUUACGUUGCAAUGUAAAGAAAUUAUACAAAAUUCAUUGAGUAGGAGUAAGCAACGAUGCUCAUUUAUUACGAUCAAUCAACAUUGAUAUUCAUUUUACAACUUAAAUUCAUUUUAUUAUAAAAGAAAAUAAAAAUAAAAACUCUCUGACUUUAUAAUGAUCGACAUCAAGUUUUAUUGUAG